This 1182-nucleotide long non-coding RNA is filed under the name Chloebia gouldiae (Gouldian finch). RNAcentral's name for it is "Erythrura gouldiae (Gouldian finch) lncRNA (ENSEGOG00005018663.1)". The record is from RNAcentral. Lineage: Eukaryota; Metazoa; Chordata; Aves; Passeriformes; Passeridae.
AUGGGCCCAAAAUACCCACAAUUCACCCCAAAAAUCACCCCAAAGUCACCCCAAAAAUCACCCCAAAGUCACCCCAAAAAUCACCCCGAAAUCAGCCCAAAAAUCCAAAAAAAUCAACCCAAAAAUCCCCCCAAAAAUCCCCCAGGCACAGGCGCAGUGGGCAGCCGCGCCACGCCUGGAUGGGCCCAAAAUACCCACAAUUCACCCCAAAAAUACCCCGAAAUCAGCCCAAAAAUCACCCCAAAAUACCCCAAAAAAAUCCCCCCAAAAUCCCGAAAAAAUCCCCCCAAAAAUACCCCCAAAAAUCCCAAAAAAUCCCCCCAAAAAUCCCCCGGGCACAGGCGCAGCGGGCAGCCGCGCCACGCCUGGAUGGGCCCAAAAUACCCCAAAUUCACCCCAAAAAUACCCCCAAAAUCACUCCAAAAAUACCCCGAAAUCAGCCCAAAAAUAUCCAAAAAAAUCAACCCAAAAAUCCCCCUAAAAAUCCCCCGGGCACAGGCGCAGCGGGCAGCCGCGCCACGCCUGGAUGGGCCCAAAAUACCCCCAAUUCACCCCAAAAAUCACCCGAAAUCAACCCAAAAAUACCCAAAAAAUACCCCAAAAAAAUCCCCCCAAAAUCCCAAAAAAAUCCGCCCAAAAAUCCCCCCAAAAAUCCCGAAAAAAUCCCUCCAAAAAUCCCCCGGGCACAGGCGCAGCGGGCAGCCGCGCCAGGCCUGCCGGGCCCAAAAUACCCCCAAUUCACCCCAAAAAUACCCCCAAAAUCAGCCCAAAAAUACCCCCCAAAAUACCCCCAAAAACCACCCCAAAAUCCCGAAAAUUUCACACAAAAAAUCCACCCAAAAUCCCUCCAAAAAUCCCACAAAAAUCCAAAAUAUCCCCCCCAAAAUCCCCCAUUCCCACAGACCCCGCCCCAUUCCCACAAGCCCCGCCCAUUCCCACAGACCCCGCCCCGUUUCACGUAGGCCCCGCCCCAUUCCCACAAGCCCCGCCCCUUUUCACCCAGGCCACGCCUCAUUCACACAAGCCCCGCCCAUUCCCGAAGACUCCGCCUCUUUUCACUUGGGCCCCGCCCCAUUCCCACCAGCCCCGCCUAUUCCCACAAGCCCCGCCCCCUCCCCACAGGCCCCGCCCAUUCCCACAAACCCCGCCCAUUCCCACAGGCCCCGCCCCAUUCCCACAGAC